CUCACUGCAUCGUCAUGUGCCUUCCAGCUGACCGUCCCAAUGCCUCUGAUCGCACAGCUCGAUCCAUCCGGCAGAUAUAUAGUGCCCUCACUGUUCUCUAGGGAGUCAAGCUGCUCCUCUCUGCAACAUACAUGAUAGGGACAUGCAGAAUCUAAUAUCCACUGCUGGGAAGAAGUAGAUACCUCGUCAGAUAUCUCUAGGACAUCUCCAUCUGAAUCGGUGCCGGCCGUCGCUACAGCAGCCACCGUCCGAUUUUU
This 257-nucleotide long non-coding RNA is filed under the name Elaeis guineensis (African oil palm). RNAcentral's name for it is "long non-coding RNA (EGUI_LNC076819)". Lineage: Eukaryota; Viridiplantae; Streptophyta; Magnoliopsida; Arecales; Arecaceae. The record is from RNAcentral.